Passer domesticus (house sparrow) is the source of this 9503-nucleotide long non-coding RNA. RefSeq lists it as uncharacterized. NCBI's taxonomy places the organism in Eukaryota, Metazoa, Chordata, Aves, Passeriformes, Passeridae. The record is from RefSeq and is a predicted model, not a curated record. The transcript has 3 exons.
UGAGAAACACUGAGCAGUCUGUGCUGAGCUGCAUUACUCUUGCAGGCCUCUUGUAUAGGUGCUUUAUGAGACAAUGUUCUGACAGAUUUUUUACAGGCAUGAUUUUGUUUUCCCUUCCUUCUUCCAUGAAUAAUUGGAGGAACUGAUUUAAAAUCUCUCCUUCUUGUGUAUUGGGGAAUAUAUUUUUUCUCUAAGUCUUUGUCUACUCUUGAAAAGGGAUUUAAAAGACAACCUAUGAACCUGCUGGGUUUAGAUAUGGUGUUUUCAGGAGGAGUUAUCAGUCAAUCGGCCAGGGCUAGGAGCAAACUGAGGUCCUUGCUGGUUUAAAGCAGACCCUAAAAUACCCUGAAACCAAGGCCACUGUGCAACACCUGACCAGCGGCCACCUUUCAUAUCCCCACCAAAUUAAAAACAAGAUGCCGAAUUGUCCUGUGAGGCUGCCUCAGCCCACAUGUAACUGACACUGCCUCUUCCUCCGAACGGCUCAGGCCCCUCUCGCUUCUCCAUCUUCCUACCUUCCCUGCCAUCUGUUCCCGCUGCUCCUGCAGCCUCUCUGCUCUCCUCCCGCCAGGGCCUGUCUGAGCAGACGGGUAUGAGAGCCUCUGAUGAGGUAGGCCUCAGGCCCCUCCAUCACUCCUCGCCAUGAGGAAAGCACCAGCUGUCUGGCUUCAUUUGCAUUUUCUCUCCAAAAUAAUGAAAUUAGCCAUGAGUAUCCUGAGGUGAUGCGAGACGCAAAUUUAGGCUGGAUGUGUCAGUGUGUGCUGGGAAGGGAGAGAGAAGGUCACGGAGGAUGCUCGCAGCAUUGAAAUGGAGGGCAAGGCAUCUCCUGCCAGCUGCCAGGGCCCCGCGACCUGGGCAGAGGCCUGACGGGAGUCUGGUUCUCCUGGGCCCCUCAGCCCACACCACCACCUCCUCGCCGGGCCAAGACGUCCAGCCUGUGUCCCUGCAGAUAACCGGAGAGGACACGCGGGUGACUGAGCUGCCCAGGCCAGCAGCCAGCUCGGGGUGCGGCCGAGCAGUGCUGCAGCGUGCAGGAGCUGUGCAAUGGCCAUGUCUGGCCAGGCUGGCCUGGUCGCCCAUCGUGCCUUUGCCACAGCGCGACUGUUCCUAAUUAUUUCAGUGUUUGCUCAGUCAGAGCUUGUCACAGGUGCUGCUCAGCAAUUCUCAUCUCCUCUUCACCUUCCUGAAUGCAUUUCAAAGUAUUUGCUGAAGUGUUUCCCACAGUACAGAGAAAAUAUCUGAACAUGCUGGAGUUCCGGCCUCACAAGCUCCUGUUGUUCUGAGGACAGUUACUGCUUCUUCUGUUUUACUGCUGUUCAUUCAGUUCUAAGCUGUUGUUUGAAUGGGGUUGUUCUGCUGACUGAAGAACAAUGCUGGUGACUCUUCUUCAAUAAACAAUGCUGGUGACUUCUCAACAAUGCUGGUGACUUCUUUUUUAAGCAGUCAAAAUGGCAAACUGCAGUUCUGCCACUUCUGCAUUUUACCUAUAAGGCUUCUUGAACUGGGCUCAGCAGCUUCCACAGCUGUGUGUGUAGAUAUGUGAGCAUGAGCCUCGGGAACAUGUCCUUAGUAUUAGAUUCUGCUGAUGGAACCCACAGUUCUCAACCCAAAGAAAGAAUUUCCCUAUUUGCGAAAGUAAUAAAAUGCUCCUGCACGUGAUCCCUCAUGAAGCCACUACAGAGCUGAAAAGUCAUCCCUUAUGGUAUUAUCCCUCCUCCUUCAUAUCUUCAGCUCUUCCUUCUGUGCCAGACCCAAAACAGUUUCAGUUCUUUCAAUCAGCUCCCCAAUAACUGCAACCUCUGCGUCCAGUUGAGUUCUUUCUUAGCAGCUAUUCUGUGUGCCUGAGCCCAAACACCUAGUCUUAAAAAGUGACACUGCUAUGAAGGGCUAGCAGCACUAUUAGCUGAGGUAUCCACAGGAUCUUCCAAAUAUAGACACGAGCCCCUGUUUCCUUUGGAAAGCUGAGAAUAUCUCCCCUCCAGAAGGUUAGUGCUCCAGUUUAUAACCUUGAUAUACUGUCUGAUCCUAACCUUGUUAUUUAAUUAAGUCUGGGCUCUGGAGCGGUGCAAUUCCGAGGUGCUAAUACCGUGUUCAAUGAAGAUGAGCACAUUGCUCUGCUUUUUUCAAGGGAAAGUAGCAGCAUAAGAAUGAGAGUUUAAACACAAUGCUAAUUAUCAGCCACAGGAAUUACUUUUAGUGUUAUAAAGCCUUUUCUUCUUCUUUUCUUCUCAUAAAAAAAAUUCUGAUAAUUUAGGUACCUACACAAUUAUCUUUAGCAGUUAUUAAUGGAUUAAUCUAACCAUAUGGAAUUAGUGUAUUAGUCUCAAUAUUGCAUCAGAUGUCAGAUUAUAUUUCUGGUUUAGAGCUUGGAGAGUUCAUAGAACUGUUCUGGUGAGUAGGGAAGGGGGUUUUCUCCCUUUUUUCUGUUUUUGUUAUCAUUCUUUUUUGUUUAGGCUUUGGAUUUUCUUUUUUAGUACAAGGUACAAUUUUUGGAUUAUGCUGCAAGCCUUACCUCUCCUCUCAGUCCCACCAUACAGAUUUUUCUAGUAAGAUCCCUGUUAAGAGCUAUGGGAAGGCCUUUUCUUGUAUUGUUCCACUGUUUUUUGCCAUUUAUGGCCCUUUAAAAUGACAUGAAAUAUGUUAGCUGAAGGUUGCUGACAUAUCCAGCAUUUACUAUGGUUAGAUAAACCUGCUUUAUGUAUAGUGGCAAGUUGUUUUGUGGUUUUUUUUAAGGGAGCUAUUUGAUGUUGAUCAGAUCUUUUAAAUUAUAGAACUGGUCCCAGUGGAGAUGGAUUAGUAAGCAGAGGGUAGAUGAAGCAGUCAAAAGCACAAACUGCAAUUUACCACAUGGUCUGUGUAAUUUAUCACACAAACGUCUCUGACACAUACACGGUACGUGUGUAUCCUACAAGUUUGAUUGUGUUGUGCUUAUCUACUUAAAAUGUUAGCCAGCCUUCUCCCAGUCCUGGAAAAAAAGCUAAGUUGCACUGGAAGUUUGCUACUAUUUGGUCUGCAAAGCACAGUGUAAUAAAGAAAAUAUUUAAAGCAGAAAUUCUUUGUGCUGAGGAUGACCACAACAUUUAUAUUAAGACAGAUGCUGAAAAUAAGGCUCACCCUCAGGUUAGAUACAAAUGCACAAGAAAGAAAAACAUAACCUUAAGAACCUGAUAUAGAUUAAUUUAAUCAGAAAAUACCCUGCCCUGUGUAUGUCUACACAACUUAAAGGCAGUACUGCAUAGAGGUAUCUGUGCUAGCUAAUGCAUAGACAUGUAUUUUUUGUGGUCUGCAGAUAACUGCAUGGAUAUUAAUGAGAUUCAGUCAUUUGUGCUAGAGGCAACAUUUCUCCUAGAUCAUUUUAUUUGUUCCAUAUUGUUAUCUAGUGCUGCAUCAAAAGGGUUUAGUUUGCUGGAGUUUCUUCAAAAAUUACAUUGUGAAAACAGUGCAGGCAUCAUGCUGUGUGCACCUGAUAAUGUUCUGCACCAUCAGUAAUUCCUGCAACACUCUGUCUUAUUAUAAAAUACUGAACCAGAAUCAAUUCUUUCAUAGAAAGGGCCUAUUGUUUAAAAAUAACACAUAUAUGCUCUUUUUUUUUGUCUACUAGGAUUAUAGAUCCCAUAUAGCACCUUCAACAAUGAGAAUAUUACCAGUAAAUUGUGAAUAGUCACUGCUUCUUGCUUACAUUUUAAAUGAAAUUAAAUUCUCUACAUGCUAAGACAGCUGUGUUCACAUAAAGAAAAACAUGAGAAUAAGAUACAAGUUUAAAGAUAGAUUUUUAGUGAUGACAUAACUUAGAAAAGGAUUAAUAAUAUUUUGCUUUUUGUUAACAUUGCCUGAUUAUUGAUUGUAAAUAUUUUUACAGGCAGCAAGGAGGAAAUACAAGUUCUAGGAUGAAAAAUAUAAGAUAUUUUUAUUGUCUGAGGUUUGACUAAAGGGCUAAUACCCAAGACAGAUCAAAACAAAAUAGCUUGGAAAAUGCAGGAAUCAUUACGAUUCUUUAAAUACUUAGAAGUACAGUAGCCAAAGAGGAUGACUCCCAAAACCUCAGUGGAGGCCGACAACAGGAUUUGUUACUCUUACCUGUGUGUACAUGAGCAAUAAGUUAUUUAUCAUCCCAGCUAAAUUGCUGCACCUUGUUCUAUUUUGAAGGAAGGACAUUUUACAUAAUCAUCAUCAAUUUUGCAAACCAUGGGAAAGUUGGAUUUUAAGAAAAAAAAUUCAGAAUUCAGAUGAGUUUUGCUUUGUGGAAUGUUACAAAAAUUAUGUAUGCCAGUCACCAUAACUGGAUUCAACUCCAGGUUUCUGCAUAAGCCAAAAGAUAGAUUCCUUUAUGAAAGUACUUUUUAUUAAUAGUUGUACAGCUUGAGCUGGGUGCUUCUCAAGAGGUACCCCAAAAAAACCCAAAAACUCAAACUAGGUAAUUCUACCCUUACAAUCCAAGUUCCUUGCCUCUCAUGCAGUAAAUUGGAUGAAUAGUGAUAUUAAGGUCUGGUCUUAUAUUUAUUUCCUGUUUUGUUAUUAAGCCGUGCUGGCUGGUUCUGUAGUUACCUAUUCAGUUGCAGUAUGGUUGAUGAUGAACUGGUGCUUAAGAAACCUACUAGAGUUGCCAGAGGAAGCUUGUGACAUGCUGUAAGUUUAAUUAUGUUCAAUUCAUUAACACAAUUAGAGCUGUGAACAAAUCUAUUGACACAGCCAGAAUCACUUAGAAACAGCUAGUAAGUCAUAGAUUACAGGGACUUGUUCUGCAUCCCUACAUGUCGAGCAUGAUUCCCUGGCAAAAUGCAUCAGUCAGUCAUUUGUGAACAUAGAUUUGAUGCCAGAGGUUUCCUCUUUUCCCUGGAUUAGAUUAGUCAUGUUUGAGCAGAAAGGCCUAAUAAUUAAAAACUACAUGAAAGCAAAGUCCUUAAUGUGCACUGACAUCAUGUAGGUGUGAAUGAUUCCUUUGCUGGAUUUACCUAAUGAUCUGUUUGUUGAUAAGGGACAGAUGCAUUUCAGGUACAGUACUUGGUCAAAAUCAAAAUUCACACAUAUUUUGGGGGGGCCCUCUGAGCGCUUUAGUUUUCUUCUGAGCAUGCAUUUGUAACAAAGUCAGUAAAGUGACUAAUAGGGGAUUCAAGGAGAAACGUGUAGGAAAGGUGUAAGGAGAAAAAAAAAAAUCUUCCUGAAAGUUUUGUUCUGUACAUUUCCCACAGUACCGAUCCACUCCCAAAACUUCCAAAAAUUUCUGCAAGGUCAGAACACUUUGUGAAAGUCUUUUAAUGCCAUUGAAACUUCAGCUACUUUUAAGCAACCUGACUGCACUUGGGCAGGAUUGCUUAUAAAUCCCCUGGUUGCUUUCCCAGGCCCACUGUGAUAAGUGAAUCAAGCAGAUGGAAGGAACUUACAUGAAGUAUUUUUGGGCUGUCUUCCCCAGCCUGUAACUUUAUUUCUCUGCUUAUCCUCCACCUCACAGGUUAGGAAAUUUAAGGAAGUGAACUAAUGUGGAAAGUGUAUCUUCGCUUUUGACUGUGGCAAGUUUUUGUGAAGGGUCCCUUGUAAUCACACGUUUGGGAAAUAUGCUCAGGUCAAGUCUGUGUAUUGCCAAGUUAUUCCUAAAGAUUGUUGAAUGGUCCCAGUUUUGUAACUUACAAAUGAUGAAAUAAUAGUGUGCUUAUUGAUAUUUUUCUUUUAUUUUUAAUAUAGCUUUAAAAGCACUUUCACUUGAGCUUCAGGGCAUGGAAUAUUAUGAGGUAAAAUAGUACAUUUCACACAGGUUUGCUUUUAUCAGGCAGCUAGGAACAGCCUAAAAUUCAUAGCCACUGGAAAAUCUACUUACAGAGGUGUGUAGUGAGGCAUUGCAGGUGUAAAAAAUCGCAUAAACCUUUUGUAGACACAAUAUGCUAAUUGCAGAGAUGUAUAUAAUAAUAUAGUAGAACUGUGAUCAACCUUAAUUGCACUAUUAAAAAACAUAUAUACUGUACAUACACUAUUUCACUAGCAAUCCAUAGAGCAUCUGAGGACUUUUACUAGCUAUCAUAAAAACAAUAAUAAAAUAUGUAAAGAAUAAGCUACCAUGAAAAUUGCAGAGGAAAAUGAUGACCCGUGUAUUUUGAGAUUAAGUAUCUUACAUGUAUGUCAUAGUGUUACUUACAUUCACUAAACAGGUUAUUGAAAGGAUGCAUUUGAGGGUUCGGUAACCUGAUGGGUUAAUCCACAGGCUUUCACAUCAGAAGACUGAAACCAAAUUUGAUUUUGGCUAUAAGUGAUUUGUAAGGUUUUGCUAGGUUCCACUUCUUAAUGAAUCUUUCAAGCAGCAAAACUAUGAUGGAGUUUUGUAUUAUUCAUCAGAAUUAAUCUUUCCUGCACAGGAGAAAUCCCGGGUAAGUGUACCUGAGGCCAUGAAAGAGGUUGCAAUGAAAAAGCUGAACUGUAAUCUGACCAAUUACACCAUUAAUGUUAUUAAGCAAAUAAAAAAUAAUUCAUUGCAUGGCUGCUAUAAGCAUUAUCCCAGAGCCAUUAAUGGCCUGGCCCUUUUUGCAUUAACUGAGUGACUGCAGAAUGUGAUUAUCUGUAAUUACACACACAUCCCACUGUGCAGCUCCAGGAAGUCAACCCCAGGCUAGUUGGACCCAGCACUUUUACGUACAUAUACUCUAGUGUAGGUUCAUGUGGCUAAUCUGGGGAGCAAAGCCAUACUCUGUCCAUGCCAUCUCUGUUUGGCACUGCACUGCACUGUGCUUUCUUGGCCACACCUGCCUGUUUGUUCAUCUUCAGGAAUUUCUUCUACAGUGCUAAAAUGCACCAGUGCAAAUCAGUGGUGACUCCAGAAACUGAUUUACCUGGUUUGUUAAGAAACAGAAAAUUAAAAAUGCUUCAUAUUUGUAAACAAACCAAAGCUUUCAAUCUGUAAUUAUGCAUUUCACUGUCUUAAUUCUAAUUUUUUUUCUUCCCAUUACCUUUGUGUUUCAAUCUGUCAGUACAAAACAGCAGAAACUCACUGUGGAUCUCCCAUUGCUUUAGCUGUGGUAUGAAACUUCCCUCUCAUGGUCAGGGAUAGAGCUCUGCCCCUGGCUGCUCAAAUUCUGGCUAACCAGCCUCUUGCCUACAGCACAAGAACUUGGAGUUUGCAUCAGCAGAGUGACUGAGACCAACUCGCAUGCACAGAAGCUGAUUGAUGAAGCAUGAUGCAUCCCUUAAUUAAACAGAAGCUACUAAUAAAAAUGAACUUACCGGAUGAUUUGUGUGAUUCUUGCAAGGCAGCCAUAUGUGCUGCACACUGGUAGUGGGAAUGGGUGGUAUGCAGCUGAUGCUUGGAAACUACAAAAGAGGAAACUUGUUAGGGGAGGCAGUUUGGGUUCUGUCACUACUCAAGGCAGUCCAUAAUUAAUGCCCUCCUCCUUAUCCUUGUUUCUGUGAUAAGCUGUCCUUUCCUCUCCCUCUCUGCACCCUCUCAGCAUUAGUCCUUGCCAUCACUGCUGCUCUCACAACUGCACUUAUUUUCACUACUUCUUUAGCUGUGACUGCAGCAUUUGGGGGAAAAAAAUUCCUUGAAUCUGCACAUCUGUUCCCCUUUCCAUGAGCCAUAAGCAUGUGUGCCUUUGUCUCAGCAAACCUUCACAACAGUUGGGGUCCAGAUGCCUCUUCCUGUGCUUCUCUACAACACUUCACUACAGCAUUUUCCAAGGGAGCUGGAAUGGGAGCACACACGAUGCAUGGGUUGAAGAGGAGGCUCCUGGAAGUCCUUCUCUGUGCCACUGGCCACCUGCAGUUGCUUUUCCUAAGUAUGCUGUUCACCUCUAAGAUCCAAAGUGGUUUCAGUAAGAUGGUAAAACCUUGUAGGGUUGUAUUGCCAACUAAUCAACUAAGUAACAGCCUAGAGGUCAGGAUGUUGUAAAAACAUGGCAACACUUCCUUGGUUACUGUCCACGAUCUGCAAGAAUUCCUGCUGUGCACCAGUGAUACGAGCACAGAAUUUAAAGGGAGAAGUGAUGUGUGACGCUUGUAUCCUCAAGCUCCCCACUCCAUAUGUUUGAGAAUUAAAAUAUUCCUUCCAGAUGUGCAUUCCUCUAACAGGCUGAAGAAAACUGACUCUUUCACCUCAUUUGCUUGGGGGACAUGAUCACAUCUUCAUGUGAAUAAAUAUUCUUUUUCUGCAAUUUUCUGCAGUAAAAAAACAGCAAAGAAAUCCCUUCUUCCAUAUAGUAAGUCAACUUUUAUUAAAAGCAAGCUGAAAAUGAGCUGUGUAGAAAAAAAUGUGAAUUUAGCACAAAACAAGAAAUGCUGUCCUUAACACAUGUGAUAACAGGCCUUUCAUUAUGCAGGUGUUAAGGGUGCAGCUGCAAUCUUCAAUUUCCAAUGCCAUGUUUGAGAAAGAUGUAGUCCUAACAAAGGGAAACCAAAGGGUCAGAAGUCUAAAUGGCAACAAAAUGAAAGAACAGAGGUUCUUUGGUCUAAAUUUUUUUUUAAUUGCAGAGAUACAUAGGAGUUAUCUUUCCAUUUGUAAAAGGCAGCUGGUUAGGAAAAAAAAAAUAAACUUUUCUCCAUGUCCUUGGCCUAUAAAACAAAAAAAUUGCAAGAUUAGAGAGCAGCAGCGUUUAUUCAGAGUUAAGCAUUAAGAAAAACUUACAAACAACAAGGAUAGUUAAACACCAGAAUAGAUUGCCUAGGGAUGUUUUGGAAUCUCUGUGAUUGGAGCUUUAUAAGAACAGGUUAGACAAACAUCUGUCAGGAAUGAUUUAGGUAUAGCUGAUCUUGCCUUGGGGUAGGGGGUUGAACUAGAUGACCUCUAAAGGUUCCUUUCAGCCCUCUUAUGAUUCUGUAAAAAAAAUACAGGAAAUGAUUGCAUGUAGAAUUGAGUUUGGCACCUUUUAGUAAAUCUCAUAGUUUCUGCUUUUCUGUUGUUCUCUUUGCAGUUCAGCCAUGCUGAGGACUCUAGGUUCCAGCAAGAAUCUUAAAAGGCUGUUUGAUGCCAAAUAGUGCUCUGGUUCUUUUACACUGUUAUAUUUAAUUAGGGUUUCUAAUUAAUCUUCUCUGUGUAUUACACUAUAUCCAGCCAUCAAUGUUAAUAAAACCUUUGCAUAGUUUAAAGAUUCUCUGAAAGUUUUCAUUUGGAAAGUGAGACCAUCUGGCCUCUCUACCUCACUAGGAUUAGAUUCUGGGUAAGGCAUACUCCAUCUGUUUCUGAGAUUCACAUACAUAUUACACAAGAAUGUGUGUUGGGGCAAGGCUAAGGAGGGAUUUCAUUGCAAACAUAACUAAGAUAUCGUCAGAUCUGUCUAGAGAAUCUCUUUGAUACUCUUGAUGCAAAAAAAUAAGCAAACUUCCUUUUCAAAAUGUUCUCAGCAUCUCUUCAGAGAAGGGUUAUUUAUUGCUUUCCAUUGUGUGAGGUGAAGUCCUCCACUGAGGAUAUACUUCAAUCCUGAACAUAUGUAGCACAAAAUACUGAAAUGGUAAACUCUGUUUGGUAAUCACUGGGAGUCCCAGGAAAGAUACCCUGCUGUCACUGAGGAGUCCUUGACAUAGUGAGA